CGGCCGCGCUCGCCCGCCGGGCUCCCUGCUUGCCGCCGAGGAGAUAGCAGGGGGGCGAGGAAAAAAGGACUACGAGGAAAUCUACUUCCCGGCGAGAGAGCCUUGAGUUCUGCAUUUCAACCUCAGGGCAACGUGGGCAGGGCCGGGCUGGGCCGGGAGCCGCAGCCCCCCGCUCCCGAGCCCGCCCCCGGGGGCGGCCCGGCGGCCCUGCAGCCCCGCCAGUGGCCGCGGGAGAUGACGGACAGCGCGGGGCCGGCGGCCUUUCCGCUGCCUCUCGCGGACGUGCUCAGCACCUGGUCCCUACCACAACAGCAACGCCCGCGUAAUACCUGCCAGGCGACUCCCAAAGAGCCAGGUCCUAUAAAGGAAGUAAAACGUGAACGGGAAUAAUACGGUGACGGCAGCGCACGGAAUAUCGGCGAGUGAAAUACGGAUCUGACGUCUCUGGUGUGUAUGAACGCUCCUUAUUACGUGAAAUAAUAAUAAUAAUCGAGCUAGAUUGCAGAGCCUUCGCAUAUGGCAGUCAGGAAUAGGGCGGAUGCUACAGGGAUCUCCCAGACAUUCGUCUCGCGUUGCAGACGUUUUGUGGAGGAAAGAAGAUGACCGCGGUUAUUUCGCACCUCUCUCCAUUUGAUCGGAAUACCCGCGGGUCCCUCCGUUCACUCCUCGGGUUUUCAACUCAACCAUUUCCUACGGCAGUUCUGUGUUUGUUUCAGGAACGCGAGGCGCACCUUCGGAACACCACGUGUGUAAACGGUGCGCUUCCAAAAGUCAGAUCCAUCACCUCUGCCGAGGGGGUCCCUCCGCACUGACACGCGCACACACCAAUUCAACCGCCCGAAAGCGAUCGCGUCCUUCAUUCGCUGCAGCCAGAGCCCUCCUCGGCGCGCUGACCUGACCCGCCGCGGCUAGUUUUAGGGCAGGAGGCGUUGAAUUAGCGGGACCCGGAUCCAACAUUUAAUUAAAUUGAUUACUUAAUUAAACAAAGGAGAGGAGUGCGUGUUUGUGAGCCCGAGGACCUGCAUUAGCAGCGCGCCCUCUCCGAAGAACGGCCGCCGGGAGCCCCGGCCGCUCCCUCGCCGCUGCCGCCCGGCCCUGGCCCCAUUACCUCCCGCUGCCCCCCUCCCGGCUCCCGGCGGUGUGAAGCCGGGCCGAGCUCCACGCAUCCUCUCGGUUCCAGCCCGGCCCCGCGGCUCCCGCACUCGGUGUCCCCGAGGGUUGCCCCGCUGCUCGGACGUGAGCCCGCGCUGCUCGCUCACUCUGUUUCUCUCCCAUCUGUGUCCAUUGUGUUCACAACUGUGUCCUUUCCUUUCGCCCCCCCUCCCCCCGAGUGUCUUCCAACCUGUCUGUUCCCCUCCUUCCCUCUCCCACCCCUCCACCCCGCCUCUGAUCUCCGGGAUAUUUGGUUUCUUUCCCUUUCUCAAUGUGUGUUCCUGAUGUGGUCCUGUCGGAAAAGCUCGUUUACUCUGCUCGGGUCUCCAGUGGUUUAAGGAUAAUGUUUAUCAGAAGUGAACGUGCUCAACUUGUUUCCAUUCAACUGCUGAGUGUGGGCUGAAAUACCAAAGGUCACAUCUACAGUGAGUCGGUAGAGGGCAGGGGGAGCCGAGAGGAAUAUGAAAACAUUGUAAUAUACAACAGCCUGUUGAUCGCUCGUGACCCGCCUGGCAAAAAGAUUUUUUUUUUUUUUUUUUUUUCAGGUAGGAAAUAAUUGAAGAAUUGAAGGGGAAAAGUGGCACGGAG
Molecule: long non-coding RNA, 1740 nt
Filed under: Gallus gallus (chicken)
Lineage: Eukaryota; Metazoa; Chordata; Aves; Galliformes; Phasianidae
Source: RNAcentral